RNAcentral lists this long non-coding RNA (199 nucleotides) under Elaeis guineensis (African oil palm). RNAcentral describes it as "long non-coding RNA (EGUI_LNC074068)". Lineage: Eukaryota; Viridiplantae; Streptophyta; Magnoliopsida; Arecales; Arecaceae. The record is from RNAcentral.
AUUCUUCUGCAACACUUGCACUAGGUUAAAUGUCAAUCGUAUUGAACGUUUAGCCCUAGAAUAAUUCUUAAUCAUUGAUCAACCAUCCGAUCGGAUUAUGAACUCUAAUGUGUGUGACCUCAUAGGUUCGAACGUAAGCUGAUAGCAUAGAAAUAAAGUUUUAUACCAAUCAAAGUGAUCAUCUAGCAAUGGUACCCGA